This is a long non-coding RNA of Phymastichus coffea, 417 nucleotides long. RefSeq lists it as uncharacterized. The record is from RefSeq and is a predicted model, not a curated record. NCBI's taxonomy places the organism in Eukaryota, Metazoa, Arthropoda, Insecta, Hymenoptera, Eulophidae. The transcript has 3 exons.
GCUGGACGACGAAAAGCACACGUCCGCAUAGUACAGAACAAUGCCCGUCGGCGGUCGCGUCGCCGGCAAAGGAGGUGGCGUUUACAGCUCUUCGCACAAUGGAACGAUCGUCGGCGACCAUUAAGUUCCCGACUGUUAACGCUCAUUGAGAGCUCUGUAACUGCGCGCAACGGCGAGCAGUUCUGCAGCGUGAAAUCCCUCCGCGACUCACACUCGCACGCAGCCUCUGUAACUUUAACCAACUACCAUCGUGGACCGCAAGAGGUUUGAGAAUUUAACAGGACGCGGGUCAAGCGGGGUGAACGAGACGAUAAUCUGGACGAGCGUUGGCAUGGGUAUAACGAUCACGCUGCUGAUAACGAUCGCCUUGUGUUAUAUCGCCCGUGAGAAGUGUAAGAAGCGCCACGAGCCGUUCAG